This 465-nucleotide ribosomal RNA is filed under the name Bolitoglossa colonnea. RNAcentral describes it as "partial 16S ribosomal RNA". It matches the Rfam family "Bacterial large subunit ribosomal RNA", at positions 1922 to 2597 of the family's 2925-position model. Lineage: Eukaryota; Metazoa; Chordata; Amphibia; Caudata; Plethodontidae. The record is from RNAcentral.
UUUUAAUGGCCGCGGUAUUAUGACCGUGCAAAGGUAGCGUAAUCAUUUGUCUUCUAAAUAAAGACCAGUAUGAAUGGCUAAACGAAAGCCUUACUGUCUCUCUAGACCAGUCAAUGAAAUUGAUUUUCCCGUGCAGAAGCGGGAAUAAUAUUAUAAGACGAGAAGACCCUGCGGAGCUUUAAACUCUAAUUAAUAAUCAGAUAUAUUUAAUAACCAGUUUUAGGUUGGGGCGACCAUGAGGUACAACACAACCCUCACGACAUAAACAAAGAAGGACACUUCAAACAACUACAUUAGUAUAUUGACCCAACAUUUGAUCAACGAACCAAGUUACCCCAGGGAUAACAGCGCAAUCCGCUCAAAAAGUCCAUAUUAACGAGCAGGUUUACGACCUCGAUGUUGGAUCAGGACACCCAAAUAGUGCAACAGCCAUUAAAGGUUCGUUUGUUCAACGAUUAAAGUCCU